UUCGCAAUGCCCGAAAGGGUGACGAAGCGACGCCGCGUGGGUGAGGAAGGCCUUCGGGUUGUAAAGCCCUGUCAGGAGUUAAGAAAUGUAGACUCGCUAAUAUCGGGUCUAUUUGACAAAGGCUCCAAAGGAAGCCACGGCUAACUCUGUGCCAGCAGCCGCGGUAAUACAGAGGUGGCAAGCGUUGUUCGGAAUUAUUGGGCGUAAAGAGCACGUAGGUGGAUUUGUAAGUCAGACGUGAAAGCCUUCUGUUCAACGGAAGAAUUGCAUCUGAAACUACAAACCUUGAGUGUAGGAGGGGAGAAUGGAACUUCUGGUGGAGCGGUGAAAUGCGUAGGUAUCAGAAGGAACGCCGGCGGCGAAAGCGAUUCUCUGGCCUAUUACUGACACUCAGUGUGCGAAAGCUAGGGGAGCAAACGGGAUUAGAUACCCCGGUAGUCCUAGCCGUAAACGAUGGGCACUAAGUAGAGGGGUUUU
Molecule: ribosomal RNA, 477 nt
Filed under: uncultured anaerobic ammonium-oxidizing bacterium
Lineage: Bacteria
Description: bacterial SSU rRNA
Rfam family: Bacterial small subunit ribosomal RNA
Source: RNAcentral